CCCUAGCCCAGAUAGAAGUGGCAUCCUUUUUUAUGGUUUUUUCUGCUAUAAAAAAGAUAUAGCGUCCCGAGGCUUCGG
This 78-nucleotide small RNA is filed under the name Flavobacterium sp. 9. Its description in RNAcentral is "Flavo-1 RNA". The record is from RNAcentral. Lineage: Bacteria; Pseudomonadati; Bacteroidota; Flavobacteriia; Flavobacteriales; Flavobacteriaceae.